GGUGUUGGACUGAAACACAGUUGUGGGGAUUUUGAAUAGAGUUGUUGGGGGAGUUGAGGAGUAGUGGGGGGGAGAGAUUCAAGGAGGGAUAAGGGAAGGGAUUUGAGGAGAAAAUUUAGGAGUGGGUUGAGAGGAGAGUUGUGUCGUUUGGGGAGUUUUCAGCUUGGGAAAUUUGGCUGGGGUUAGGUUGUGCCGAAUUUGAUCUUAGGCAUUUUGGGUAAUCGGUGUUUUGUGUUGUUUUUUCUGCUUGUCUUGGUUUUGGUCAGUUUCGUUUUGCAACUAUCGAUUUUUGGUGUUGAAUUUUGGCAAGUUUCUUCUCG
Molecule: long non-coding RNA, 320 nt
Filed under: Gossypium raimondii (Peruvian cotton)
Lineage: Eukaryota; Viridiplantae; Streptophyta; Magnoliopsida; Malvales; Malvaceae
Description: long non-coding RNA (GRAI_LNC010491)
Source: RNAcentral